Molecule: microRNA, 20 nt
Filed under: Brugia malayi
Lineage: Eukaryota; Metazoa; Nematoda; Chromadorea; Rhabditida; Onchocercidae
Also listed under: 1 other name
Description: bma-miR-5872
Source: miRBase by way of RNAcentral
UUUCAGGAGGUGAACCAGCA